AGUGUCGAACAGAGGUCGCGAUUCUUAUUAGUAAGUAAUUAGAGUUGAAAAGCAACGAAGAAGAUUAUCUGAAAGGAAGCAUCGCCGAAGUGUAUUAAUGCUUUUUCAUUAGUACAUUGGGCCUUGACUUAAUAGGUCAAGGACUGUCGUAAGAAAUUUCUUACGGAGCGCUAUCGAAACU
RNAcentral lists this non-coding RNA (181 nucleotides) under Ligilactobacillus hayakitensis. RNAcentral describes it as "Lactobacillus hayakitensis Lysine sequence". It matches the Rfam family "Lysine riboswitch aptamer". From Rfam's summary of the family: Riboswitches are metabolite binding domains within certain messenger RNAs that serve as precision sensors for their corresponding targets. Allosteric rearrangement of mRNA structure is mediated by ligand binding, and this results in modulation of gene expression. This family includes riboswitches that sense lysine in a number of genes involved in lysine metabolism, including lysC. Lineage: Bacteria; Bacillati; Bacillota; Bacilli; Lactobacillales; Lactobacillaceae. The record is from RNAcentral. RNAcentral also lists the same sequence under 1 other name.